Molecule: ribosomal RNA, 301 nt
Filed under: uncultured bacterium
Lineage: Bacteria
Description: partial 16S ribosomal RNA
Rfam family: Bacterial small subunit ribosomal RNA
Source: RNAcentral
CAGUAGCCGCGGUAAUACGAAGGGGGCUAGCGUUGCUCGGAAUUACUGGGCGUAAAGGGCGCGUAGGCGGCGCUCCAAGUUAGGCGUGAAAUUCCCGGGCUCAACCUGGGGACUGCGCUUAAGACUGGAGUGCUUGAGGAUGGAAGAGGGUUGUGGAAUUCCCAGUGUAGAGGUGAAAUUCGUAGAUAUUGGGAAGAACACCGGUGGCGAAGGCGGCAACCUGGUCCAUUACUGACGCUGAGGCGCGAUAGCGUGGGGAGCAAACAGGAUUAGAUACCCCAGUAGUCCCUGUCUCUUAUAC